UACGGAGGGUGCAAGCGUUAUCCGGAUUCACUGGGUUUAAAGGGUGCGUAGGCGGGCAGGUAAGUCAGUGGUGAAAUCCCCGAGCUCAACUUGGGAAUUGCCGUUGAUACUAUCUGUCUUGAAUAUCGUGGAGGUGAGCGGAAUAUGUCAUGUAGCGGUGAAAUGCUUAGAUAUGACAUAGGACACCCAUUGCGAAGGCAGCUCACUACACGAUAAUUGACGCUGAGGCACGAAAGCGUGGGGAGCAAACAGG
Molecule: ribosomal RNA, 253 nt
Filed under: uncultured bacterium
Lineage: Bacteria
Description: partial 16S ribosomal RNA
Rfam family: Bacterial small subunit ribosomal RNA
Source: RNAcentral